AUUUAAGUAGUUUAAUUAGAAUUAUAAUUUGUGGUGUUAUAGGUAAAUAUAAAAGUAUUUCUUGAAUC
RNAcentral lists this transfer RNA (68 nucleotides) under Eysarcoris montivagus. Its description in RNAcentral is "tRNA-His". Lineage: Eukaryota; Metazoa; Arthropoda; Insecta; Hemiptera; Pentatomidae. The record is from RNAcentral.